AGAGUUUGAUCAUGGCUCAGGAUGAACGCUGGCGGCGUGCCUAACACAUGCAAGUCGAGCGAUCUUCUUCGGAAGAGAGCGGCGGACGGGUGAGUAACGCGUGGGUAACCUGCCUCAUACACAUGGAUAACAUACCGAAAGGUAUGCUAAUACAAGAUGAUAUAAGAGAUUCGCAUGGAUUUCUUAUCAAAGCUCCGGCGGUAUGAGAUGGACCCGCGUCUGAUUAGCUAGUUGGUAAGGUAACGGCUUACCAAGGCGACGAUCAGUAGCCGACCUGCGAGGGUGAUCGGCCACAUUGGAACUGAGACACGGUCCAAACUCCUACGGGAGGCAGCAGUGGGGAAUAUUGCACAAUGGGCGAAAGCCUGAUGCAGCAACGCCGCGUGAGCGAUGAAGGCCUUCGGGUCGUAAAGCUCUGUCCUCAAGGAAGAUAAUGACGGUACUUGAGGAGGAAGCCCCGGCUAACUACGUGCCAGCAGCCGCGGUAAUACGUAGGGGGCUAGCGUUAUCCGGAUUUACUGGGCGUAAAGGGUGCGUAGGUGGUUUCUUAAGUCAGGAGUGAAAGGCUACGGCUCAACCGUAGUAAGCUCUUGAAACUGGGAAACUUGAGUGCAGGAGAGGAAAGUGGAAUUCCUAGUGUAGCGGUGAAAUGCGUAGAUAUUAGGAGGAACACCAGUAGCGAAGGCGGCUUUCUGGACUGUAACUGACACUGAGGCACGAAAGCGUGGGGAGCAAACAGGAUUAGAUACCCUGCUAGUCCACGCCGUAAACGAUGAGUACUAGGUGUCGGGGGUUACCCCCCUCGGUGCCGCAGCUAACGCAUUAAGUACUCCGCCUGGGGAGUACGCUCGCAAGAGUGAAACUCAAAGGAAUUGACGG
RNAcentral lists this ribosomal RNA (879 nucleotides) under uncultured bacterium. RNAcentral describes it as "bacterial SSU rRNA". It matches the Rfam family "Bacterial small subunit ribosomal RNA", at positions 8 to 916 of the family's 1533-position model. The record is from RNAcentral.